GAAUAUUUGAAUGUUCUUUUUAUUAUAGUUGAUGUACAAUAUUAUAUGUUACAGGUGUAUAAUAUAGUGAUUCACAGUUUUAAAGGUUAUACUCCAAUCACAGAUAUUAUAAAAUAUUGGCUAUAUUCCCUGUAUUGUACAAGAUAUUCUUGUAGCUUAUUUUAUACAUAAUAGUUUGUACCUCAAAUGAACUUUUGAAUUUAGAGCAGAUAUGAUAGCAGUGUACUAGGGCACAAUAAAAUGGUAUAGAACACAUGAAAUGGUACAGAACAUAGGUGUGGCCAAUAGUUGAAAACGCAGAAUAUACAGCUCUAAAAUAUAGCUAUAAAUGAAGUAUGCCUGAGGCUUCAUAGAACUGAAAAUGGAAAUAUGUGAACAAACUUUACUAAAGCAAUUUUUGAGAAAAACAUAUUCAAAUAAGGUAUUCUAUUGAGACAGUACAAGCUAGUGGUGAACAACACAGAUUCUAGAUCCAGUCUGCCUGGAUUCACAUCCUGCUUCUCAUUCACUAGUUUCACAGUUAGGUAGGUGUCUUGGCUUGGGGUACCUUAAUAAAAUACCAUAGACUGGAGGCUUAAACAACAGAGAUUUAUAUUCUUACAGCUUUAGAGGCUGGAAAGUCUAAGAUCCAAGUGACAUCAGGGUCAGUGUCUGGUGAGGGCUCUCCUUGGGUUGCAGAUGGCUACAUCCCUGAGUCCUCACAUGGCCUUUUCUUGGUGCAUAUGGGGAGGGGGAGACACACACACACACACACACACACACACACACAACACACAUGCACAUACAGAUUGAGAGAAAGAGAAAGAUUUCUUCCUCUUUUUCUAAGUCCAUCAAUCCUAUAGGAUUAGGACAUAUAAAUUAAUUUGGGUGAGGGGGACAUAAUUUAGUCCAUAGUAGCAGGUUACUUAGGCUCCUAGUAUCUAUUUCCUUAGCUGUAAAAGGAGUUCAUUAUCUGGAGUUCCCGUCAUGGCUUAGUGGAAAAGAAUCUGACUAGUAAUCAUGAGGACUUAGGUUCAAUCCCUGGCCUCACUCAGGAUCAAACCUGCAACCUCAUGGUUCCUAGUCAGAUUUGUUAAUCACUGAGCCAUGAUGGGAACUCCUGGGCAGUUUUUUCUAACUCUCCUCCCUGCCCCUUUUGCUACACACACACUUUUGGGAGUCACUCUGGGCCGAGCCCAUUGUUGCUGAUGGAAAUGUACUUUUCAGAUGUGUUGAGGUGUUUAAAAAAGAAGGUUGAAAAUGAUUUUCCUAAAAACCUAUGUUGACAGUUCUUCACAGGUUCUGGGUGCACACAAACACAAUUCUUACAAGAAGUGCCAAUGCAAACUAUAUACCUUUCUUAAAGACCAUCCUCUAAUUAAGACAGAGAUGAGCAGUGGCAGUACUGAUCUAUAAUAAUGACUACCAUUUAUUGAGUGCAUAAUCUGUUUCAAGCAUUGUUCUAAACAGUUAACAUGUGCUGGUUAAUUUAAUCAUCAUGGCAGCUCUAUGAAAUAGAUAAUAUUGUUAUCCUAUUUUAGUUGUGGAAAUAGGCACAGAGAAGUUAAGGAUCUUGCACAAAUGCAAGAUCAUGCAGAUGGAGUUGAGGUUCCAAGCCAGGCUGAGUGGCUUAGAAUUGCCAUCUUAGCUACUCUGCUAGUUCAUGGCUAUUGUCACUCAGGGAAAGCCUGCCUACAGCCAACAGGUUUACAACUAAUUUUCCUUACAGAAUUUUUAUUGAGAACAGUUAGGAGUGCUUUUCCCCAUAAUUAAAAACACAUUAAAGUGCUACUUCUAUUAAAGGAGCUUCCAAAACUUACUAAAAUGAUGUAACAAAAUACCACUUGCCACGUGCUAGAAACUGUACUCAGUUUUACAUGUGUAUUAAACCAUUUUGUCUUCAAUCCUCAAAACAAUCUCAUGAGGUAGGUAUUGUUAAGGAAACUCAGGUAUAGAGGGGCAAAGUUACUUGCUCAAGGUCACACAAAUAAAUGGUGGCACUAGGAUGCAAAUCCAGGUAUUCUGGCACUAGAGUCUCAGCUUUCAGCCCCUAAGCUGAGUAUCAAAAUGCAGAGUAUUGGAGUUCCCAUUGUGGCACAGCAGAAAUGACUCUGACUAGGAACCAUGAGGUUUCGGGUUCAAUCCCUGGCCUCGCUCAGUGGGUUAAGGAUCCGGCGUUGCUGGCAGCUGUGGUGUAGGUCACAGAUGCGGCUCAGAUCCUGUGUUGCUGUGGCCCUGGCAUAGACUGACAGCUACAGCUCCGGUUAGACCCCUAGCCUGGAAACCUCCAUAUGCUGUAGGAGCGGCCCUAGAAAAAAGACAAAAAAAAAAAAAAAAAGAACUGUCAUGUAAGCAUUUCUCAUGU
This 2344-nucleotide long non-coding RNA is filed under the name Sus scrofa (pig). RNAcentral's name for it is "lncRNA (ENSSSCG00040005312.1)". The record is from RNAcentral. Lineage: Eukaryota; Metazoa; Chordata; Mammalia; Artiodactyla; Suidae.